This is a small nuclear RNA of Salvia splendens (bonfire salvia), 160 nucleotides long. RefSeq annotates it as U1 spliceosomal RNA. The transcript has a single exon. NCBI's taxonomy places the organism in Eukaryota, Viridiplantae, Streptophyta, Magnoliopsida, Lamiales, Lamiaceae. The record is from RefSeq and is a predicted model, not a curated record.
AUACUUACCUGGACGGGGUCGAUGGGUGAUCCUUAAGGCCUAUGGCCUAGUUUGGUGACCUCCAUUGCACUUUAGAGGGGUGCCUGCCUAAGGUCGGUCCAAGUGGUCGAGCCUGUGUCAUAAUUUGUGACAAAGGGGGCUUGCAUUUGCGGGGCCCCUG